GUCUCUCCCUCUGUAGAUGUCAGUUCUCACAUCUUUCUAUAGGGAGAUGGGUGUCUCAGAAGUUACCUGGCUUCCCCUGUAUCCCUGCACAGGGUGACCUAAGAUGCCCAAGCUUCAGAGCCCUCAGCCUUGUCCUUUCCUGGACAUAAUCCUGGAGAUAAUUGCUACUCUCACAAGCACUCAAGUAGUAUAGGGAUGCCCAAAUCACUUGGAUGAUGCUUCAGAGUCUCAUGUUAAUGGAGAAGCCAUGCAGCGGCGGAACAUAAUCAACGUUUCACAAAGGCAUCUUCACUGGCAGCUCAGGACACCUAGAUCCUGUAGGAAGGGGAAAGUCUCAGUCCGGGUCUGCUGAAUCUAACAGUUCUCAGGCGGAACUGGAGACCUGGGUGCCACCCACAGCUGGGAAGUCAGUAAUCUUAGGGGGUCAGUGAAAGACAGCAGCACUUGGUGCCUCAGCCCUGCUGGUGUCUACGAUGUAAAGUAAGACAAGCUCAGGCUUUGCCAGGGCACUCUCCUGUCCCUGUUAUUGAUGGCACACAACCUAAGAACUCCAGUGGGGGUGAAGUGCAAUGAUGGUACUGAAAUCUAAAAAUUCCUGUGUCUCCUUCCCCACUCAGAGUGAGACAGAGGGUCCCCAGCACAAAGACUACAGUCUUGUCACUUCCUGACUAUGUUAUAUUAACCAUCAUGAACCCUUGAUCUGGAUCUGCUCAUUAGGAACCCAUAGAAGCAGGAUAGGCCUAUUGCUUCUCAGAAGCUCCCAGUUCCUGAUUGACCCUGGCAGGCUCAAGCCCAUCACACCCAGAAAGCUCCCCAGACCCUUCCCUGAACUCACUGCAUCUUCCCCAGGACCAUUGAUUUCUCCAUUCUUUCCAGUAAGACCUAGGGUCAGCUUCCUUCUGCCUUGCUCUGGUAUCUCCACAAAAUCUAUUCUCUUUCUCAAGUAGAUGCCUAAGUCUUUACACAAUGUCUAUAGGCAAACUGUACAGGCAUUGAACGAACAUCCUAAAGGCACUUAGUGUUGCUACAACACUAUUGACAUCACAGGGGAUUCCAAGACCUCUGCUCUCCAGGAUACAAUAGAAUUUCCAGAGAAGGGACUCCUGAUGUCACAAGGAACAGCCUUUGCCUCCUGGCUAAUAAAUUCUCCCUGAACUGAACAGAAGCUGAGAUUUCUUUCCAGGAAUCUCUCCUGUGACACAGUUUCUCAGGUUGCUCCUUGGAGACCUCAUUGCUCAAUGUGACUGCUCAAGCAGUUGUCUAGGAAUUGUCCCCCUUGUCAAUACCUCCAUACAAAACUUGGAGUCCACUGCUCUAGGCUAACCUAAUGGAAUCACAGAAAACUGGAGACUGGAUAAGAGGGAAUGUGCAAUGAACAAGCUGCAUGGAGAAGUUUUACUUCAACAAUACCAGGGUACCAGUGUGCACAGGAUGAAGCAGACCAGCCUUGGGAACAUCACCACCAUCACAGCUUUUAUGUCCGACAAG
Peromyscus eremicus (cactus mouse) is the source of this 1488-nucleotide long non-coding RNA. RefSeq lists it as uncharacterized. The transcript is spliced from 3 exons. NCBI's taxonomy places the organism in Eukaryota, Metazoa, Chordata, Mammalia, Rodentia, Cricetidae. The record is from RefSeq and is a predicted model, not a curated record.